CACGAAAUUCAAUGAGCUAGCUGUAAUAUGUGUAUUGACAGAAAUAUGUAGCAUAAUAUUAUAUAAAAUUACCGCUAGGGGUGAUAGGCUUACCAAAGUGAAUGAUAACUUGUUUUUCUUGAAAUAUAUUAAGUAUAUAAACCAAAUUUAAAGUUAUAAGGCUUUAAAUGGUAAUUAAAGAACAUUAAAUGAUAGUAUCAAGUUUAAUAGCAAAUACAAUUGGAUUAUAGUAUAAGAUUGUAAAAGUAUAUUGAUAGUAAAGAAAUAUAAAUAAAUUAAUAUAUUUAUUAAUUCUGUUAACAUAAGUAUAAUAUAUAGGUAAUUUUAAUGAACUCGGCAAUUGUAACCCUCAACUGUUUAUCAAAAACAUAGCCUGCUGAGUAUAUAGUUGGGUGAUUUCUGCUCGGUGAUUAAUUUAACAGCCGCAGUACCCUGACUGUGCAAAGGUAGCGCAAUCAAUUGGCUUUUAAUUGGAGUCCUGUAUGAAGAAGAUAUGGGGGAUGACUGUAUCAUUUAUAAUUUUAGAAAUUGCUAAGUAGGUGCAAAAACCUAUAAUUAAAUAAUAGACGAGAAGACCCUAGAAAUUUUAAGAAUUUGUUUUAUAAACUUUUUGUUGGGGCAACACAGUAAGAACCUACAAGGUUGACAUGAAAUAUUAUAGAACGUAUAAAUUACUCUAGGGAUAACAGCAUAAUUUGUAAGAGUUUGUGACCUCGAUGUUGGACUAGGAAAUUAGCGUUUAGAA
RNAcentral lists this ribosomal RNA (745 nucleotides) under Baudinella boongareensis. Its description in RNAcentral is "partial 16S ribosomal RNA". The stretch from base 263 to 553 matches the Rfam family "Archaeal large subunit ribosomal RNA", at positions 1787 to 2143 of the family's 2987-position model. Lineage: Eukaryota; Metazoa; Mollusca; Gastropoda; Stylommatophora; Camaenidae. The record is from RNAcentral.